CUAGGAUCACCUCCACCCUGGGGAUAGAUGGAGCUGCACCUUGGAUCCUCUUGACCUCUUUGCCACUAGAAAAUUGGACUACUUUGCUUGACCACUGGAUGUUGCCCUCUUUCACACCCAGGGGAAUUGCGAUUACGGGCACUCAAAGCUUCAUUUAUUCCACUGGAGGAUCUGCACAUACAUAAACAAGUAAUUCAAGAAAUUAAGCUGCUGUCUUUCCAGCUCACUGCAGGAACAACAUCCCUGGUAUAAUUCCAGGAAGGAAGCAGAACUCAUGGAGUCAGCACAGCAGGGUUUGUCUCAGAGUCAUGUUUUACUCCCUACAUGGUGCAUUUCAUUUUGGUAUGCAUUGAGCACACUCCCUGCCUACCCCUAGAAAUUUUGUUUCUAGACUCAGCAGUAGCCCAGGAGUUGCUAACACUGAUGUGAAAAAGGCAGGCCAGCUUUUCUGUCCCCACUCUCAAUGUUUCCUGGAUACAUCUGUUCAUGAUUUGUUGGAAAGGUCAGUAAUAUGCUUCCCCACAUGGCAUCUGGAGGGUGCUUGCCCUGCAGGAUGUCUCUUUCCUCUGAUCCUGAAAACCAAAGAUUUUGUGGGCAUUGCUGGUCAGAAACUGACUGUGGUUUACAGGAGAUCAGGAAAACAUUUCUAGACAUCAAAGCCCCAGUAGCAUUUCAAAAACUACUUUAAAAUCUAAUUUUUCUACCAGUGAGUUCAGUAAGAGGCAAAUUAGGUCAACAAUAAAUGCUUUUGAAAGUCUUA
Molecule: non-coding RNA, 760 nt
Organism: Anas platyrhynchos (mallard)
Lineage: Eukaryota; Metazoa; Chordata; Aves; Anseriformes; Anatidae
Source: RefSeq, a predicted model, not a curated record